This 414-nucleotide ribosomal RNA is filed under the name uncultured bacterium. RNAcentral describes it as "bacterial SSU rRNA". It matches the Rfam family "Bacterial small subunit ribosomal RNA", at positions 945 to 1359 of the family's 1533-position model. The record is from RNAcentral.
UUUAAUUCGAUGCAACGCGAAGAACCUUACCUGGUCUUGACAUCCACGGAAGUUUUCAGAGAUGAGAAUGUGCCUUCGGGAACCGUGAGACAGGUGCUGCAUGGCUGUCGUCAGCUCGUGUUGUGAAAUGUUGGGUUAAGUCCCGCAACGAGCGCAACCCUUAUCCUUUGUUGCCAGCGGUCCGGCCGGGAACUCAAAGGAGUCUGCCAGUGAUAAACUGGAGGAAGGUGGGGAUGACGUCAAGUCAUCAUGGCCCUUACGACCAGGGCUACACACGUGCUACAAUGGCGCAUACAAAGAGAAGCGACCUCGCGAGAGCAAGCGGACCUCAUAAAGUGCGUCGUAGUCCGGAUUGGAGUCUGCAACUCGACUCCAUGAAGUCGGAAUCGCUAGUAAUCGUGGAUCAGAAUGCCA